Molecule: ribosomal RNA, 301 nt
Filed under: uncultured bacterium
Lineage: Bacteria
Description: partial 16S ribosomal RNA
Rfam family: Bacterial small subunit ribosomal RNA
Source: RNAcentral
CAGCCGCCGCGGUAAUACGUAGGGUGCAAGCGUUAAUCGGAAUUACUGGGCGUAAAGCGUGCGCAGGCGGUUAUAUAAGACAGAUGUGAAAUCCCCGGGCUCAACCUGGGAAUGGCAGUGGAUACUGGCUCGCUAGAGUGUGUCAGAGGAUGGUGGAAUUCCCGGUGUAGCGGUGAAAUGCGUAGAGAUCGGGAGGAACAUCAGUGGCGAAGGCGGCCAUCUGGGACAACACUGACGCUGAGGCACGAAAGCGUGGGGAGCAAACAGGAUUAGAUACCCCUGUAGUCCCUGUCUCUUAUAC